GAUUGUUUGAUCAUGGCUCAGAUUGAACGCUGGCGGCACGCUUACACAUGCAAGUCGAACGGCAGCGCGGGCUUCGGCCUGGCGGCGAGUGGCGAACGGGUGAGUAAUGCAUCGGAACGUGCCCUGGAGUGGGGGAUAACUAGUCGAAAGAUUAGCUAAUACCGCAUACGAUCUAAGGAUGAAAGUGGGGGACCGCAAGGCCUCAUGCUCCUGGAGCGGCCGAUGUCUGAUUAGCUAGUUGGUGGGGUAAAAGCCUACCAAGGCGACGAUCAGUAGCUGGUCUGAGAGGACGACCAGCCACACUGGGACUGAGACACGGCCCAGACUCCUACGGGAGGCAGCAGUGGGGAAUUUUGGACAAUGGGGGAAACCCUGAUCCAGCAAUGCCGCGUGUGUGAAGAAGGCCUUCGGGUUGUAAAGCACUUUUGUCAGGAACGAAACGGUGAGGGCUAAUAUCCCUUGCUAAUGACGGUACCUGAAGAAUAAGCACCGGCUAACUACGUGCCAGCAGCCGCGGUAAUACGUAGGGUGCAAGCGUUAAUCGGAAUUACUGGGCGUAAAGCGUGCGCAGGCGGUUGUGCAAGACAGAUGUGAAAUCCCCGGGCUUAACCUGGGAAUGGCAUUUGUGACUGCACGGCUAGAGUGUGUCAGAGGGGGGUAGAAUUCCACGUGUAGCAGUGAAAUGCGUAGAUAUGUGGAGGAAUACCGAUGGCGAAGGCAGCCCCCUGGGAUAACACUGACGCUCAUGCACGAAAGCGUGAGGAGCAAACAGGAUUAGAUACCCUGGUAGUCCACGCCCUAAACGAUGUCAACUAGUUGUCGGGUCUUAACUGACUUGGUAACGCAGCUAACGCGUGAAGUG
RNAcentral lists this ribosomal RNA (862 nucleotides) under uncultured bacterium. RNAcentral describes it as "bacterial SSU rRNA". It matches the Rfam family "Bacterial small subunit ribosomal RNA", at positions 8 to 866 of the family's 1533-position model. The record is from RNAcentral.